This 460-nucleotide ribosomal RNA is filed under the name uncultured bacterium. RNAcentral's name for it is "partial 16S ribosomal RNA". It matches the Rfam family "Bacterial small subunit ribosomal RNA", at positions 338 to 795 of the family's 1533-position model. The record is from RNAcentral.
CCUACGGGAGACAGCAGUGAGGAAUAUUGGACAAUGGCCGAAAGGCUGAACCAGCCAAGCCGCGUGAGGGAAGAAGGAUCUAGUGAUUGUAAACUUCUUUUAUAGGGGAGUAAAGGUCUCUACGUGAGGAUAUUUGCAUGUCUCCUAUGAAUCCGCAUAGGCUAACUCUGUGCCAGCAGCCGCGGUAAUACGGAGGGUGCGAGCGUUAUCCGGAUUUAUUGGGUUUAAAGGGUGCGUAGGUUGUAUUGUAAGUCCGCGGUGAAAGGUUGUGGCUCAACCCUAAAAUUGCCGUUGAAACUGGAAGGCUUGAGUGUGGGUGAGGUAGGCGGAAUUCGUAGUGUAGCGGUGAAAUGCAUAGAUAUCACGAAGAACACCAAUUGCGAAGGCAGCUUACUAAGCCAUAACUGACACUGAAGCACGAAAGCGUGGGGAGCAAACAGGAUUAGAUACCCCUGUAGUC